GUGUUGAGCGAAGGGAGGGAGGGCUUGCUCGCCCCUCGGCAAGAAGGGAAGCGCUUGUCAGGCCAGCCGUGCGCGCACGGUGGCCUCAAGGCAGGGCCACCUACCCGUGGCUUUCCGAAGUCCUGUCUGU
Molecule: small nuclear RNA, 130 nt
Organism: Suricata suricatta (meerkat)
Lineage: Eukaryota; Metazoa; Chordata; Mammalia; Carnivora; Herpestidae
Source: Ensembl